RNAcentral lists this ribosomal RNA (406 nucleotides) under uncultured bacterium. Its description in RNAcentral is "partial 16S ribosomal RNA". It matches the Rfam family "Bacterial small subunit ribosomal RNA", at positions 30 to 526 of the family's 1533-position model. The record is from RNAcentral.
AUUGAACGCUGGCGGCAGGCUUAACACAUGCAAGUCGAGCGAGCGGCGGACGGGUGAGUAAUGGCUGGGAAACUGCCUGAAGGAGGGGGAUAACUACUGGAAACGGUAGCUAAUACCUCAUACAGUCAGAUGUGUCCAGAUGGGAUUAGCUAGUUGGUGGGGUAAUGGCUCACCUAGGCGACGAUCCCUAGCUGGUCUGAGAGGAUGACCAGCCACACUGGAACUGAGACACGGUCCAGACUCCUACGGGAGGCAGCAGUGGGGAAUAUUGCGCAAUGGGCGAAAGCCUGAUGCAGCCAUGCCGCGUGUGUGAAGAAGGCCUUCGGGUUGUAAAGCACUGUCAGCGAGGAGGCGUUACUCACAGAAGAAGCACCGGCUAACUCCGUGCCAGCAGCCGCGGUAAUUC